UCCCAGACUCCUACGGGAGGCAGCAGUGGGGAAUAUUGCACAAUGGGGGAAACCCCGAUGCAGCGACGCCGCGUGAGUGAAGAAGUAUUUCGGUAUGUAAAGCUCUAUCAGCAGGGAAGAAAAUGACGGUACCUGACUAAGAAGCCCCGGCUAACUACGUGCCAGCAGCCGCGGUAAUACGUAGGGGGCAAGCGUUAUCCGGAUUUACUGGGUGUAAAGGGAGCGUAGACGGCUGUGCAAGCCAGAUGUGAAAGCCCGGGGCUCAACCCCGGGACUGCAUUUGGAACUGUGUGGCUGGAGUGUCGGAGAGGCAGGCGGAAUUCCUAGUGUAGCGGUGAAAUGCGUAGAUAUUAGGAGGAACACCAGUGGCGAAGGCGGCCUGCUGGACGAUGACUGACGUUGAGGCUCGAAAGCGUGGGGAGCAAACAGGAUUAGAUACCCCGGUAA
RNAcentral lists this ribosomal RNA (447 nucleotides) under uncultured bacterium. RNAcentral describes it as "bacterial SSU rRNA". It matches the Rfam family "Bacterial small subunit ribosomal RNA", at positions 329 to 793 of the family's 1533-position model. The record is from RNAcentral.